Manis javanica (Malayan pangolin) is the source of this 434-nucleotide long non-coding RNA. RefSeq lists it as uncharacterized. NCBI's taxonomy places the organism in Eukaryota, Metazoa, Chordata, Mammalia, Pholidota, Manidae. The record is from RefSeq and is a predicted model, not a curated record.
CUCAAACAUAUAUGCAUGCGUAUCUCUGUGGUGCUGCUUCUGUUUCCCUAAGUGCUUUGUUCAAGAUGGAAUAACUGCAUCCAAAAGAAGCUCGAACCUGCUUAAGAAGUGCCAAUCACCUUUACAGUUGGCAGAACUGAUCUGAUGUCUGCCCGUCACGAGAUUUCUGAGACUGGGAACCUUCUUAACUGUGUGAAUCCUCAAUCUCAUCAGAUGUAAGGAAGCCAAGGAAAACUGGAAUUGAAGAACUUGCCAAGGGACAACAGAACAAGAAAAGUAUGGGGCCUCUUGGAAGCAAAAUGACUCCAAUGGCGUGAAAACCCUCAGUUCAGUGCAAACAUGUGGUUGGAGACGAUUUAGAAAGGGAGAAGCAGUGUAGCCACCGCCCUUCAAUGCUUUCCAUGGAUUAACCCACCUGGUCGUCACAGCAAGCU